This 467-nucleotide ribosomal RNA is filed under the name uncultured bacterium. Its description in RNAcentral is "partial 16S ribosomal RNA". It matches the Rfam family "Bacterial small subunit ribosomal RNA", at positions 28 to 507 of the family's 1533-position model. The record is from RNAcentral.
GAUGAACGCUGACAGAAUGCUUAACACAUGCAAGUCAACUUGAAUUUGGGUUUUUAACUUCGGUUUGGGUGGCGGACGGGUGAGUAACGCGUAAAGAACUUGCCUCACAGCUAGGGACAACAUUUGGAAACGAAUGCUAAUACCUAAUAUUAUGAUAAUAGGGCAUCCUAUAAUUAUGAAAGCUAUAAGCGCUGUGAGAGAGCUUUGCGUUCCAUUAGCUAGUUGGAGAGGUAACGGCUCACCAAGGCGAUGAUGGGUAGCCGGCCUGAGAGGGUGAUCGGCCACAAGGGGACGGAGACACGGCCCUUACUCCUACGGGAGGCAGCAGUGGGGAAUAUUGGACAAUGGACCGAGAGUCUGAUCCAGCAAUUCUGUGUGCACGAUGAAGUUUUUCGGAAUGUAAAGUGCUUUCAGUUGGGAAGAAACAAAUGACGGUACCAACAGAAGAAGUGACGGCUAAAUACGUG